CUGCGCUUUAAUGUCCGCCCCACUCCCCCCCGGUCUCGACGCUAGUUGGUGGGUAAAAUCCAGUGCACUCAUCGGCGAAGCUCCGGGGAUAAUAGUAUCCGUGUCCGGGGCUAGACUGUUGUCCGGUUCGGUUGCUCUCGUCCUUCUGUUGCCCCUGACGCGUUCAUACUACGUCUCUAUUUCAUGGUAUCUCCUUUUCUUUGUAUCCUUCUGCCGGAUAGGAAAAGGAGACUGAGAACAGAACAGAGGAACGCACAGCUGUAGCGAGAGACUCUCUAACUGACUGCCUGCUCUCCCAUCUCUGCACAGUCUGGCUCCGCCCCUGUAACCUGUCAGAGGCGGGGUCUCUUCAAAGGAAGGCUGGGCUUCGGCUCGAAGGGAGGCGGGGCCGGAAACGCUGCAUGGGAGUGUAGGGAAACCUCACCGACCCCGGAACAAGAACUGCAUUCAAGCGUCUGUGAUAACUGGCAGAGUCUUUCACAUCUUUUUGGCCCUCUCAUCUUUGUAGAAUUGCUCAGACUCAUUGGAGGGUUUUUGAGCAUGAACAGCCUGUUUCAAAUUUUCUGGAGAGCAGAAUUCAUAGUUCCUUCAACUAUGGCAGCCCCAGACCAUCACACUACCAGAACCAUGUUUGACUGAUGGUAUGAUACAGUUUUACAACGGAUUAAAUGGGACUCAGCCUUCCAGAAACUUCAGUUUGUGUCUCAUCUGUCCACAGAGUAUUUUUCCAGAAGUCUUGGGAACCAUCAAGAUGUUUGUUGGCAAACAUCACAAUGGUUCCCCUUGUGUUCUUUCUGGUCAGCGGUGAUUUUCUCCUCGGACCUCUCCCAUGGAUACCAUUUUUGUCCAGUCUCUUUCUUAGUAUUAAAUCUUGAACUCUGACCUUGAAAUCUUAAGGUCUUUAGAUGAUGAAAAUCUUGUGGUUUACGAAGAGAUCAACAGAAAAUGAAGAAGAUGAAGCCACAUGAUGGCUGUAUAAAGGACACAGUCAGUAAAGAUUAAAUGCUUUAACAACACUGGCUGAGAGAACAGCCUACUCAUUUCAUAACUUACAUGCACUAGAAUAGUAAUCAAUUUUACAUAACAGAAACUGAGACAAGUGAGGCCUGCAGGUCUUUAGAUGUUGUUCUGAGUUCUUUUGUGACCUUCUGGAUGAAUUGUUGAUGCGCUCUUGGAGUAAUUUUGGUCAGCCAGACAAUCUUGGAGAGGUUCACCACUGUUCUGAUUUUUCUUUAUUUGUGGAUAAUGGUUCUCACCGUGGUUCACUGGAGACCCAAAGCCUUAAAAAUAGCUUUGUAACAUUUUUCCAAAGUGAUAGAUUUCAAUUAAUUUGUUUCUCAUUUACUUUUUUCUUUUUUUUUAUCAGGGCAUGAUGUGCUAAUUUUUGAGAUCUUUUAGCGUACUUCACUUUAUCUGAUUCUGGUUAAGAGAGUUCUUAAUUUAACAGGUCUGCUAGUAAUCAGGCCUUGAUGUGGUUAGUGAAACUGAACUCAGUUUUCCAAAUAAAGUGUUUAAUCGUUUGGGUCAUCUCUGUUUAAUAUUGUUUGAUGAUCUGAAACAUGCAAAUGUGACAACUUACAGCAGUGUAAUGACUGUUAGAGAUGAUCUUAAAUCUAGACAGAGGAACAGUGAAAAUACACAAGAAGAUUAGAAAGUAUAGGACAUGAAGUAGUAUUAUGCAAACACAUUGAACCUGGGUUUAACGUGUUCCUGAUAUGUGGGGGACGGACUGCCAUAAAUGUAAGACAGUAAAGAUGUACAAUGCUGCCACAUAUGAAAAUGAAGAAGCAGCCCCAUGACAGCUGCAUAAAGGACGCAGUCAGUGAAGAUUACGUGCUUUAAGAACACUGCCCGAGAGAAUACAGCCUACUCAUUUCAUAACUUAAAUAGACUGGAAUGGUAAUCAAUUUUACAUACAAGAAAUUUGCUAAGUCAAUAUUUUGUCAAGCCUGUCUUAUGUAAAUAUUUUAUCAUCCUGUCUUCUUUCGCAUGAGACUAAGUGU
Long non-coding RNA from Oreochromis niloticus (Nile tilapia), 2003 nucleotides. RefSeq lists it as uncharacterized. NCBI's taxonomy places the organism in Eukaryota, Metazoa, Chordata, Actinopteri, Cichliformes, Cichlidae. The record is from RefSeq and is a predicted model, not a curated record. The transcript is spliced from 3 exons.